Molecule: ribosomal RNA, 425 nt
Filed under: uncultured bacterium
Lineage: Bacteria
Description: partial 16S ribosomal RNA
Rfam family: Bacterial small subunit ribosomal RNA
Source: RNAcentral
GUGGGGAAUAUUGCACAAUGGGGGAAACCCUGAUGCAGCGACGCCGCGUGGAGGAAGAAGGUCUUCGGAUUGUAAACUCCUGUUGUUGAGGAAGAUAAUGACGGUACUCAACAAGGAAGUGACGGCUAACUACGUGCCAGCAGCCGCGGUAAAACGUAGGUCACAAGCGUUGUCCGGAAUUACUGGGUGUAAAGGGAGCGCAGGCGGGAGAACAAGUUGGAAGUGAAAUCCAUGGGCUCAACCCAUGAACUGCUUUCAAAACUGUUUUUCUUGAGUAGUGCAGAGGUAGGCGGAAUUCCCGGUGUAGCGGUGGAAUGCGUAGAUAUCGGGAGGAACACCAGUGGCGAAGGCGGCCUACUGGGCACCAACUGACGCUGAGGCUCGAAAGUGUGGGUAGCAAACAGGAUUAGAUACCCCGGUAGUCC